AUGGGGCCCCCCACGCAGGAGAGGGGAUGGAAUCGGGGUCCCCCACACGGGGAGAGGGGAUGCAGCCGCCUGCCAGGGUCGCGGAUUCGCAUCUCCAUGGUAACUGGUUCUAAUCCCAGCACCGUUGCCCUGGAAACCGUCAGCCAAGAUUUCGGGGCAGAUGGCGGCGAAGCUGCGCGGCCCACAGGAGCCCGCCAUGGGAGCCUCACUCCGGGUUGGUCUCCUCCCCACGUUCCGGUCACGGACACGGCUGACACGGCCCGGAGACACCAGCUGCAGAGGGGCCGGCGCCAACUUCUAGAACCUUCUGAAGCACAGUGUGCCUUCUGGGAAAGGUGCGUGUUUGGGGCAGACAAGGCUGUCCUUUUCAGGGACAGGAGGUAGGAUUCCAUUCUUGCGUGCGUCCGUUGCAUUUCUGUCGUGGCUCUGUGUCGCUCGCUGUGAGCCCAUCGUAGAAGAACCCUGUGGCAUAACCUCCUAGCAUAUUUGAUGUUGCGGGGUUGACACAGGUGACUCCAUCUUGGUCCUGGCAAUUCUCCCAUUCCUUCACGCCACAGUGUCACUGUGUCACUGUGUCACUGCCACAGCCAAGAGAGCUCUGAGUUGGAAGGUCACGGUUGCCUGGGAGAAAACCGUCCCUGGGGGACCUGUGCCAGGUGUCCGUCUUCAGAUGCUUGCAAUGUGGGUCCUGGCAGACUCCGAAUCCGCUCUGACACCCUGCUCCAAUCCCUGAAACCCACCGCCUCCCAGACGCCCGGUGUCAGGAGGCGAUGACGGAGUGGUUUGUCACCCACAGACCGUCAGUGCAGCCACGCACCUCACGUUCUCGGGGCUCCGGGACCUUCCUCGUUCCCCCCACUUCUCUGCUGGCGGCAGUGCCUGGCGUCGUCACGGAGACCGCACAGGUGCCUGCAGCCUCCGCUGUCAACCCCACUUGGAGGCAAAGGCGAUUAGUUGUUCCAAUGCUUCCUUUCCAAGCUCAUUCCAGGAGCGUUCAGAAUUCUUUCAUCUUCCCCAAAGAAGCUGUUAAAACCCUUGUCAUAUUCCUGGAACCUCUCUCCCCCUGGGCUCAGCCUGCCACUGAAAUCCUGUUUUUUUCUUAAGCCUGAUGGUGCCACCUCGGGGUCUGGAUGGAGUCCAGAGCCAGGCACUCGAAAGUUGGUCAGACGAAUUCAGCUGAGAGACUUUUUGCGCCUCACUGUGCGAAAGCCCUUGUCACUCAGAAGGGUGACACACGUGUCACACGGCGUCGUGGAAAACCAGAACCAGACGGCUCAGCUUCCGCCCUGCCCUCCGCCCCAGCUGUCGGGUGUUGAGCUGGACAGGUGCCAGCCCCGCUGGGGACGGGAGGCGGGGACUGGGAGCAGCUCCACACCCGGGGCUG
This 1384-nucleotide long non-coding RNA is filed under the name Oryctolagus cuniculus (rabbit). RNAcentral's name for it is "lncRNA (ENSOCUG00000032951.1)". Lineage: Eukaryota; Metazoa; Chordata; Mammalia; Lagomorpha; Leporidae. The record is from RNAcentral.